UAAAUUUUAAGUUAUAUAAACUAAGAACCUUCAAAGUUCUCAAAAAGAUAAUUCUUAAAUUUAA
Molecule: transfer RNA, 64 nt
Filed under: Metacrangonyx dominicanus
Lineage: Eukaryota; Metazoa; Arthropoda; Malacostraca; Amphipoda; Metacrangonyctidae
Description: transfer RNA Tryptophan
Source: RNAcentral